UUUUAUAUUUAAUAAUAUCCAAAGUUGUUUAAAUGCAAGAGUAAAUAAUAGCUAUGUAUGGUUGAGAUACCAGGGCCACCUGGAUGAUAGUAUAACCAGUGUGGUAGUAUAAAUCUCAUACAAAA
Molecule: small nucleolar RNA, 125 nt
Organism: Aphidius gifuensis
Lineage: Eukaryota; Metazoa; Arthropoda; Insecta; Hymenoptera; Braconidae
Product: small nucleolar RNA U109
Exons: 1
Source: RefSeq, a predicted model, not a curated record